GACGAACGCUGGCGGCGUGCUUAACACAUGCAAGUCGAGCGGAAAGGCCCUUCGGGGUACUCGAGCGGCGAACGGGUGAGUAACACGUGAGUAACCUGCCCCAGACUUUGGGAUAACCCUCGGAAACGGGGGCUAAUACCGGAUACGACACAGCUUCGCAUGGGGUCUGUGUGGAAAGUUUUUCGGUUUGGGAUGGGCUCGCGGCCUAUCAGCUUGUUGGUGGGGUGAUGGCCUACCAAGGCGACGACGGGUAGCCGGCCUGAGAGGGCGACCGGCCACACUGGGACUGAGACACGGCCCAGACUCCUACGGGAGGCAGCAGUGGGGAAUAUUGCACAAUGGGCGGAAGCCUGAUGCAGCGACGCAGCGUGAGGGAUGACGGCCUUCGGGUUGUAAACCUCUUUCAGCAGGGACGAAGCGUAAGUGACGGUACCUGCAUAAGAAGCGCCGGCCAACUACGUG
This 462-nucleotide ribosomal RNA is filed under the name uncultured bacterium. RNAcentral's name for it is "partial 16S ribosomal RNA". It matches the Rfam family "Bacterial small subunit ribosomal RNA", at positions 28 to 507 of the family's 1533-position model. The record is from RNAcentral.